UGGGGAAUCUUGCACAAUGGGCGAAAGCCUGAUGCAGCAACGCCGCGUGCGGGAAGACAGCCCUAGGGUUGUAAACCGCUUUCAGCAGGGAAGAAACUGACGGUACCUGCAGAAGAAGAUGCGGCCAACUACGUGCCAGCAGCCGCGGUGACACGUAGGCAUCAAGCGUUAUCCGGAUUUAUUGGGCGUAAAGAGCUCGUAGGCGGUUCGGUAAGUCGGGUGUGAAAACUCUGGGCUCAACCCAGAGAGGCCACUCGAUACUGCUGUGACUAGAGUGCGGUAGGGGAGCGGGGAAUUCCUGGUGUAGCGGUGAAAUUCGUAGAUAUUUGGAGGAACACCAGUGGCGAAGGCGGCUCACUGGCUCGAUACUGACGCUGAGGUGCGAAAGUGUGGGGAGCAAACAGGAUUAGAUACCCUGGUAGUCCACACCGUAAACGAUGAAUGUUAGCCGUC
Molecule: ribosomal RNA, 453 nt
Filed under: uncultured bacterium
Lineage: Bacteria
Description: bacterial SSU rRNA
Rfam family: Bacterial small subunit ribosomal RNA
Source: RNAcentral